Ooceraea biroi (clonal raider ant) is the source of this 5199-nucleotide long non-coding RNA. RefSeq lists it as uncharacterized. NCBI's taxonomy places the organism in Eukaryota, Metazoa, Arthropoda, Insecta, Hymenoptera, Formicidae. The record is from RefSeq and is a predicted model, not a curated record.
AAUUAAAAAAACGUACGUAACACGAAAUUAAAAUUUUUAUUUUUAGCAUUAAAAAUAAAAAGAGGUAAUCAGCAACUGAAACAAUUAUCGCGGCAUACUGUAUAUAGAAAUAUAAAAACAAUAUGUAAUGAGCAACAGCAAAAAAUUAAGACUGCAAUAGAGAACGCUCCUUUUGUGUGCACAACGGCAGAUAUUUGGUCAGCAACAAAUCGCUGAUUCAUGAGUGUUACUGCUCAUUGGAUCACUGAAGAUUUACUGGAAAGAAAGUCGGCUGCGAUUGCAUGCAGAACAUUUCUUGGCAACCAUACAUGGGAUAAUGUUGCUGAGUUAUUAUUACAAAUUAAUAAAUCAUUUGGAUUAGUUGGAGAAAAAUUGAUCUCAACUGUUACAGACAAUGGUUCAAAUUUCGUAAAAGCGUUUAAACAACUAGGAGUUACCUUAUAUAGAGAUAAAAAUGAAGAUCAUAAUUGCAUAGACAGUGAUCUUGAUGAAGAUAAUGAUAUUAUAAUAGGACUAACUAAUUCAACUGAUGGCUGUAGUUUGCUAGAAGAGAACUUAGUAGAAUUGCCUCAGCAUAUACGCUGCGCUAGUUACACAUUACAUUUAGUGGCUACUAAUACUACAAUAACAGUCUUGAAUGAUAAUAACAAGUUCAAAAUUAUUUAUGAUGAAACAAUUUCCCGAUGUGAAACUUUGUGGAAGAGUAUGCGAUCGCCAAAAAACGCGAAUUAUUAAUAAAGCACUUCGGUUGUUCAUUGAAAAGACCUGUUAUUACACGAUAGAACUCAUUUUUUGAUAGUGUAUAUCAAAUACAUUCACUGCAAGAUAAAAUAAUACAAGUUGAUGUAUUGCAAAAAAUUUUGGAUUCAAGAAACAUCCUUAGGUUCGAAGAUUUUCGAUUUAUUAAGGAAUACUUGACUUGUGUUGAGCCUCUUGCUAAAGGAAUAGAUAUAUUGCAAUCCGAAAAAAAUUGCUACUACGGAUAUUUAUUGUCAACAUUAAUUUCACUAAAAAGGAAAUGGUACUUUCUAAAAGAACAAACUAGUAUUAAUACUUGCAAACCACUUCUAAGCGCGAUGUUGAUUGAUUUAGAAUCGCGCUUUUAUGAUUUCUUCAUGUUACAAAUGUUGGCGAAAUAGCUGCGAUCACUGCGGUAAUGCAUCCAAAAUUUAAAAAUCGAUGGUUAGUAUGUUUAUUAUCAAAAUUACAAGAACGAGUGAGGGAAAAAGUUCUAGAAGCACUACAUCAAUUUUCGAAUGCCACACCUCAGCAAAGUCAUUCAUUAACGAGAAAAAAGGAGGAUUAUUUUGAUUUUGGAUCUCAAGAAGUUCCACAAAUGUCUAAUACAUUAUCAUGUCAAGGUAAUUACGAAAUUGAACUGCUGAUGUAUUUGCAAACUAGUGAUUGCUCUCUUGAUAUCCUCAAAUCAUAUCCAACCAUACGGAAAGCAUUUAUAAAAUAUAAUACAACGCUUCCAUCCUCUGCACCCGUUGAAAGAUUAUUCUCAUUCGCAACAAAGAUGAAUAUGCCAAAAUACAAUCGAUUAUCAGAUACUCUUUUCGAGACAAGAGUUUUGGCAGUAGCGAAUGCUAAAAAAACAUGUUAUUACACUGUAUCAAAGAGUCAAUAAAAAUUGAAAAUGCAUUGUUUUUUACAUAACAGUUUCCCUUAUACAUACGCAUAAAAUUGAAGUAUUUUACAUCUUUAAUAAUAUUUUACAAUUUACAAAAAAGCAACUUACUUCAAAUUUGUAAUUACUUGACUUCAAUUACAAUUACAAUCGAGAAAAGGAUUUGUAUUUACUUUCAACUUCAAUUACAAGUGCAAAAAAUAUUUGUAUUUAAAUUUGUAUCUAAUUAUCAAUUCAGAAAAGUAUUUGUAUUUCAAUUUGACUUCAAUUACAAUCCAGAAAAGGAUUUGUAUUUGCUUUCGACUUAAAUUACAAUUCCAAAAAGUAUUUGUUAUUAAAUUUGACGUUAAUUACAAUUCAGAAAAGGAUUUGUAUAUCAACUCGAUUUUAAUUAAAAUUAUAAAAAGUAAUUAGUAAUUAUAGAUAGGAAUUUAAUUACAAAAGUAUUUAAUUAUUUACAACCCUGCUUGUAAGUAUAUGUGUGUAAGUAUAUGUAUAUGUAAGUAUAUGUGUGUAGCCGCGAGGCAAGAUACACUAGACAGAUAGACAUCAUUAGAUUCUUGCCGAUCCUCGCGGAAUGUGCACAGAAGCAGAAAUUACUUUUUUCACUCCUCUCAAGUAAGUUUCAUAACAUAUAUAAAAUCUGAAGUAUUUUUCUUUCUUUAUUACAAAGGUAUAACGUAUUAUCCUAAUAUAUUUUAGUGAUUAUCUACAUAUAGUUGAUGAUUUGCAUAUUAGAAUUGACAUUUAUUUAGAUAUUCAUUUACAAAAUUAAUUACGAAUCAUAAAAUAAUUAGUCGGAGACAAUUGUAUCACUAAUGUUUGGGAACAGUUGUAGCGUUACUAUUGUCCUCGCACUCACUUGAUUUUAUUUUAGUGUUGUUUUCUAUCAUUUUUCAAAGCUUCUCCAAGAAAAAUAUUAAGAAAAGGAAGGAAAAAGAAAAAAUUAGCUAUCUAUACAGACUCGCCAGAAAAGGAAAACGUACAGGUUGAAAAUGAAGAAAAAAUAAAGAGAAGAAUUAAAAAUAUCUUUUUAAUUUAUCAAGUAAACCAAAGAAUUCUAAUACUGUUAAAAAAUUUAAUAUUACCUUUAAGAAACAAAAAAAUAAAUUUUUAUACGUGAUUCUUCAUUUUUAUAAAUUUUUAUAUUGUUACAAUUAUUUUCCCAUUAUAAUACAAUUAUAAUCCCAUUAAAAAAAAACCUUACCUUACUUUAAUCCCAUUAAAGAACCUUACGAAGAUAAAAACAAUACAUAACGAUACGCCAAGUACAUAAAAAUCCCAACUUGUACACAUUUUGUACACAUUAGACAUAUAUUCUUGUAAAUUUGUACUGUCCUUUCAUGAUUUUCAAUAAAUCUUUUUAUUUGGAAAUAUAAAAAGGAACACAGUUUACAGUUUUGCAAAUGUGAUUAUAAAUAUUAUAAAUCUUCUUACUACUUAGUCGAUACUAAUAAUUUACACAUAAAGUUAUUAAUUAUACAAAUUACGAGUAUACCAAUUAUACAAAGGACAGUAUGUUUUAAUGGGCACGCCAAGUGUCCAAAUACUAUUUCAAAUUACAAAACCUCAAACUGAAUUGCUUCUAAGUACUUAACUAUUGAUUUCAUAUUUAGUUUUUUUGUUGUGUACAAGUUGCGAUUUUUAGGUACUUAGCGUAUUUUUUAUUUUUCUUUUUGUAACCUUCAACCUAAACAAACCUUUGUAAGGUUUUUUAAGUAAGGUGGGAUUUCAUUGCUUUUUGUAAAAAUUUAUAGUUUUCCUGCAAAAAAAUAUAUGUGCAUGUUUAGGAUUUCGAGGCCAACUAUACUUUUGUAUUUUCGAAUCAUUUAUUAAUUGCCAUUCGGUACCUUUAGCACGUACUGUUUGUAUAAUACGUAUAUAACGUAUGUUUGUAUAAUAUCCAUCAAUUAUAUUUUUACCUUGAUGAAAAAUUCCAUUAAUACUUUUAUAUACAGGGUACAGCUUUAAGUUUUAGAUCUGCUAUUUUAAUAAUUGUUGUAUCACUAAUUUUAAAUAACAAUAACUGUAAGAUGAUAAUACUCCUGAUGGUAUUAUUAUAUCAGUUUUUUCAAAUGUAGAAAUACCACAACUGAUACAUAUUUUUUCAACAUUAUUCCAACGUGAAAAAUUAUAUUGUAUUGAGUUUUGUAAAAUACAUGAUUUUUUUAAUUUUCGGAUAAUUGAAACAAUAAUAUUAUAAUUGUCUCCAUUAUUUCAGGAUUGACUGUACCAAUCUUUUUCAAACUAAUCUUAAGUCAAAGCUUUCAUCCAUAUUAUAUCAUAAAAGUGCCGUUAGAUUUUUGAUAGUGACUUUAGUUCCUGAGAUAUUUUAAUUAAAAGUUUGUGUAACAGGAAAUUCCGAAUAAGCUGUACAGUAACUCUCGACAUCUAUGCAGCGAUUCAUUAUUUUUCAUCUAGUUUGGGAAGUUGUAUCACACCCGGCGCAUUCCGAAAACUUGGCUUCAUCAGAUUUUAAUUUAUUUCAGUCUUUGCAAUAUCAUUUUGUAUAAUACGCACUUUAAAACUAUUAAAGACGUGAAAAAAUGAUUUGAUGAAUAAAAUUUAUUGAAUAAAAAUCGCCAUUUUUUCCGCGAUGGAAUCCGCCAAUUGUCCGAAAAGUAAACUUAUAGAAAAUAGUGGUGUUUAUUUAGACGAUUAAUGUUGUACUGCUUAAUUCAUGAAUACAAUUUGAGUUUUAUAAAAAAGAAUGUAAAAAAUGCUGACUUGACCAUUGGGAAAAUAAAAUUAGUGCAAAAUGUGAACUCAAUUGCAUAACGAAGACACAUGGCACAAUCCUACAUUAAAAAUGGAACAAAUAAUGUUUUUACGAAAAGUGAAAAAUUACGAUAAAAAGAAUUCUGAAAGAAGAUUAAAUAUUUUUAUUUGUAAACUUUGAUCAUUAUAUUUACUAACAAGCAUAUAAGAAACAAAAAACUAAAAAUACUGUGUAAAUGUAAUUUUACACAGUAAAUAAAUGCUUAAUAAGAGAGAUAGAUUUCUUGACGUCUGGAUACUGAGUUUUAUAAUGUAUAAUAACACGAUUUAAAGAAUAAAAUAUUUUUUCUCCUCAUUUCUCGAACUGAAACUUGAUUAAAAUCAUAUAUAAAAAAUUAACUAGAUUUGCUGUAUCAUUUAUGACUUUAAGUAGAUAAACAAGAUUUUAAAACUAUGUUUAUUUACUCAUGUAGUAAGAUCUAUCUGGAUGAAGUCUAUCAAUAGUGAAAAUUUUUCGCUUUGAAUGUAGUGAUAUAAAAUGCUCAAUUCGACAGUUAAAAUAAUUCAAAUCAUUUUUACUUAUUUUCUUUUCAGCUUUUUUCAAUUCGUCAAUUCGAUGCUAUCGUUGAAUUUAAUAAUAUCUCUACCAUUCCUUUCUUUCUUUCAAUUAUAAUGUGUUUGUUUUAACACUGCUGUUUCAUUAGAAUUUUAAUUUACGCUUUAGUAUUAACCAAAUAUCACAUAUUGCGCAUUUCUUUUCAACAAAUGGAACUUUAAGGGCCAUAAAACAAAUUUAAAAAUUUAAAAAUAAAAGUCACAAUUAAAUAAAGUUUAAUGUAUAUACCUGCGCA